CGUAACAAGGUUUCCGUAGGUGAACCUUCGGAAGGAUCAUUACUGUUGAAACGUCUCGGCCAGUCGUGUCCCGCAUUGGGGCCUUCUGCGCCAGCGUUUAGCACCCUUGAUUUUGAGCACCUUUUGUUUCCUCGGCGGGUUCGCCCGCCAGCGAGGACCCCCAUGAACUCUUUGUAAUAGCAAUUUUUGUCUGAAAUACAAACAAUAAUCAAAACUUUCAACAAUGGAUCUCUUGGUUCUGGCAUCGAUGAAGAACGCAGCGAAAUGCGAUAAGUAGUGUGAAUUGCAGAAUUCAGUGAAUCAUCGAAUCUUUGAACGCACAUUGCGCCCCUCGGUAUUCCGUGGGGCAUGCCUGUUCGAGCGUCAUUUAAACCCUCAAGCUCAGCUUGGUGUUGGGUGCUUGUCCCGCCUCCGCGCGGCGACUCACCUCAAAGCCAGUGGCAGCCCGCAUCAGCCGGCCGUGAGCGCAGCACAGUCGCGCCCUAGGCCCCGGCAGGUCGGCUCUCCAGAAGCACAUCUUCUUAUUUUGACCUCGGAUCAGGUAGGGAUACCCGCUGAACUUAAGCAUAUCAAUAA
RNAcentral lists this unclassified non-coding RNA (576 nucleotides) under Arthopyrenia sp. 1 NV-2015. RNAcentral's name for it is "sequence contains ITS1, 5.8S rRNA gene and ITS2". The stretch from base 213 to 366 matches the Rfam family "5.8S ribosomal RNA". Lineage: Eukaryota; Fungi; Ascomycota; Dothideomycetes; Pleosporales; Arthopyreniaceae. The record is from RNAcentral.